GAUGAACGCUGGCGGCGUGCCUAAUACAUGCAAGUCGAGCGAACGGACGAGAAGCUUGCUUUUCUGAUGUUAGCGGCGGACGGGUGAGUAACACGUGAUAACCUACCUAUAAGACUGGGAUAACUUCGGGAAACCGGAGCUAAUACCGGAUAAUAUUUUGAACCGCAUGGUUCAAAAGUGAAAGACGGUCUUGCUGUCACUUAUAGAUGGAUCCGCGCUGCAUUAGCUAGUUGGUAAGGUAACGGCUUACCAAGGCAACGAUGCAUAGCCGACCUGAGAGGGUGAUCGGCCACACUGGAACUGAGACACGGUCCAGACUCCUACGGGAGGCAGCAGUAGGGAAUCUUCCGCAAUGGGCGAAAGCCUGACGGAGCAACGCCGCGUGAGUGAUGAAGGUCUUCGGAUCGUAAAACUCUGUUAUUAGGGAAGAACAUAUGUGUAAGUAACUGUGCACAUCCUGACGGUACCUAAUCAGAAAGCCACGGCUAACUACGUG
This 496-nucleotide ribosomal RNA is filed under the name uncultured bacterium. Its description in RNAcentral is "partial 16S ribosomal RNA". It matches the Rfam family "Bacterial small subunit ribosomal RNA", at positions 28 to 507 of the family's 1533-position model. The record is from RNAcentral.